Molecule: ribosomal RNA, 490 nt
Filed under: uncultured bacterium
Lineage: Bacteria
Description: partial 16S ribosomal RNA
Rfam family: Bacterial small subunit ribosomal RNA
Source: RNAcentral
GUGAACGCUGGCGGUAGGCCUAACAAAUGCAAGUCGAACGGCAGCACAGUAAGAGCUUGCUCUUACGGGUGGCGAGUGGCGGACGGGUGAGGAAUACAUCGGAAUCUACUUUUUCGCGGGGGAUAACGUAGGGAAACUUACGCUAAUACCGCAUACGACCUACGGGUGAAAGCAGGGGAUCUUCGGACCUUGCGCGAUUGAAUGAGCCGAUGUCGGAUUAGCUAGUUGGCGGGGAAAAGGCCCACCAGGCGACGGUCCGUAGCUGGUCUGAGAGGAUGAUCAGCCACACUGGAACUGAGACACGGUCCAGACUCCUACGGGAGGCAGCAGUGGGGAAUAUUGGACAAUGGGCGCAAGCCUGAUCCAGCCAUACCGCGUGGGUGAAGAAGGCCUUCGGGUUGUAAAGCCCUUUUGUUGGGAAAGAAAAGCAGCAGGUUAAUACCCCGCUGUUCUGACGGUACCCAAAGAAUAAGCACCGGCUAACUUCGUG